Molecule: long non-coding RNA, 2071 nt
Organism: Aegilops tauschii subsp. strangulata
Lineage: Eukaryota; Viridiplantae; Streptophyta; Magnoliopsida; Poales; Poaceae
Source: RefSeq, a predicted model, not a curated record
CAUGACCAUACCCUCCCCUAUUUUCUCUGUGUCGCCGACCAUGGCGCCCAUGGCAACCACGAGGCUGGAAGGGGUCUCAUGGACCCGAGAGUGCGAGAGGAGCAACAGCGCUGGCGGUGACGCCCCAGGAAGACCGUAGUGUGGUGCUCUGCUCUAUGGAUUCCUCUGCCAUGGAGUUCAAAGUUUUUUUCAUUUUUGUUUCAGAUUUUUGAUGUGCAAAAAUACAGUUCAGUGCAGUUCUUUCUUCUCUUUGAGCUUAGGUUCUCUGGAUGAUGUUUGCAUCCGGGUUGUAAAAUUUUGCCUGCGUCAAGUGCAAUUCAGAACUUACAAGUUCCGCUGUCAGUCUCCUGUGUAGUUCAUUACAGUAGAAUUUUAAUACUAUGUUCGAUUCAGUUAUCUUUUUCUGCUCUAUGUCGUGAGGCUGCAGUCCCGCGAUCUCCUGCUUACCGGCGUCAACCCGGUCGAUCCAGGUAGUUGGGUGGGGAUUGGGGGUGUAACCGGGCAUCCAGAUAAUGAGUUCCCGCCGUGAGCUGGUGCUCUGCUCCUCGCCGCUGGUGGUCGUGCUACAGCGACGUGCAGUUCGCCGGGCUGUGUCGUGCGGUUCGCCGGGCCGUGGAGUGUGGUUUACCGGCCGGCAGCGUGCGGUUCGCCGGGCUGUGUGUGUGUUGCUUUGGCUAGGAACUGGUUCACCAGAUCACUCCUUCAACAAGAGCUAGCUAGAUGUGCAUGAGUUUCAUGCGUUUAUGUUUCGGGCAGCAGAAUUAACGAGCACUCACAAAGGACAAGCCAUCAAGGUGUUUUUCUGCGCAUAUGUCGUUCAAGUGGAAGAUGGGGCACUGUGCCUUCUCCAACUCCUUCCGAUCUGCUGAUCAAGUCAAGAGAAUAAGAGCAGUGGAGAUUACCUUUUCUUGCUAAACUUUCCCGUCAAUGCCUAAUAUGCGUGCUUUUCUUCCUAAUGGUGUCAUGCUUCGAUUUGAUUUCUUACGUGAGGAAGUGAAUAGCAGUGAUUAUUGCACAUGCUUAUACAUUUCAAAUGGAUUGCUAGGUUAAAUGGUAUAGCGUUCAAAGAUCUUAGUUUUUCUGAACGGUCUAAUAACUAUUCAGUUUACUAAACUGCUGAACUGCUUCUUUGGGUCUGAAUUUGCUGAAUUGUCGAACGGUCUAAGAAUUAUUCAGUUUACUAAACUGCUAAACUGCUUCUUUGGGUCUGAAUUUUCUGAAUUGCUUCUUUGUGUCAAAAUUGCUAGGUACCCUGGAAUAUACGGAAGCGCGGAAACUCCAAGCUCUUCCAGGAUGUUUUUGAGGAAUUGCACAUUACUGCUAGCAAGAUUGCUGAUGAUCUUAUGUUGCAGUCCAACAGUUUUCAGUUUAUGAAGUGUUUCAGGCCGGUGUAAGCCUGUUGUAGUCCCUGUAAGUGACGCAUCACCCUCUCUUAACUGAAUAGACACCGUGGCGUCGAUGAGACGCUUCGACCCAUGCUGGCCGUCGUUCCCUACCACUGAGAUGAAGAAGAAACGGCUGGCUUACCAAUCACUUAAGCAUCCAGAGUUUCGGCGCCCAACUAUUGAAGAAGGCUCAGACUGAUGGAGUUGUCCCAAACAAGGCACAGACCUGACUCCUUUCCGCUCCUGGAGUCCUUGCAUGCCUUCAAAGCAUGUAAUCUUAGUCCCUCUCAAUAGCGCAUGUGUUGCCAUUGUCCCUCUCAAUAAGUCCCUCACCGGUGGUUACACACAGGCGCGCCCACGAACUGCUCGGCCAGGGGAGAAAACAGAGCAGUGGUGUUCGGUUAGAACAGAGGGAGGACACACGGUCAGGUUUCAGGAACCAAUGCCUUCAUAUUUUUUCUCUUUGUACUGAGUGCUGGCUAAAUAAGCACAACCCUCUUAUUACAAGGUUAGAUCAACUCAACACCAGCAAUAACGGCUUGAAAUGAGCUAGGUUGGCCAAGACUAGACAUUAUGGAUUUGGUACUGUAUAUAUACUGGAAAAUGAUAGCAUGGUCUUUGUAUGGUUAUUUUUUGAAUUAGCAACACUGUACGGUCUUCCUCGGCAGUGCACAUACUAAUGAUUA